RNAcentral lists this ribosomal RNA (378 nucleotides) under uncultured Planctomycetota bacterium. RNAcentral describes it as "bacterial SSU rRNA". It matches the Rfam family "Bacterial small subunit ribosomal RNA", at positions 521 to 896 of the family's 1533-position model. Lineage: Bacteria; Pseudomonadati; Planctomycetota. The record is from RNAcentral.
UAAUACGAAGGGCCGGAGCGUUAAUCGGAAUCACUGGGCUUAAAGCGUGCGUAGGCGGACUUGAAGGCGUCCUGUGAAAUCCCUCGGCUCAACCGAGGAACUGCAGGGCGAACCAUGAGUCUCGAGACAGGUAGAGGUUGUCGGAACGAUAGGUGGAGUGGUGAAAUGCGUUGAUAUCUAUCGGAACGCCAAUGGAGAGGUCAGGCAACUGGGCCUGUUCUGACGCUAAGGCACGAAAGCGUGGGGAGCGAACGGGAUUAGAUACCCCGGUAGUCCACGCCGUAAACGAUGCGUACUAGGUUGGGGAAGCUCUGACGCUGUUCCCGGCUGAAGCAAAAGUAUUAAGUACGCCGCCUGGGGAGUACGGUCGCAAGGCUA